This 1035-nucleotide long non-coding RNA is filed under the name Macaca fascicularis (crab-eating macaque). Its description in RNAcentral is "lncRNA (ENSMFAG00000053022.1)". The record is from RNAcentral. Lineage: Eukaryota; Metazoa; Chordata; Mammalia; Primates; Cercopithecidae.
CACUUGCAUUUCAUCCACACUCAACACUCAACACUGACAAUGACAUGGUGAAAAUUAUCCAAGAAUCCAAGAGAGACUUUCUAAGCUAAAAUAUCAAGAAGCCCAGAGCCUGAGGGCUUCUAUCUUCUUAGAUGCAGAUAUUCUUGCCAGGGUGGCCACUUCUACAAAAAGAAAAGCAAAGCCUGACAUCUCAUCACAGGGUAAAACUAACAUGGUCCCAUGGAUGACCCCACCCAGAACAGGAGAGCCCUAGGAGAUCCAACAGUGUUCUCCUUCUGCCCCCUCACUAACAACAUGACCUUCAGGAAGCUGCUGCCAUUGUCAGUAUCCUAUCUCCUCCCUGGUAACAUGGGGACAAUAACACCCUACAAGGGAGUCGUGAGCCUUAAAAAGAUGUCAGUUCUACAGGGCUGAGCCUAGUGCCAGGAGGACAGAUGGUGCUCAGUAAAUAGCAGUUGUUACUGUGACCAUGAGGAGGUGGUGGGAAAGAUGACUCCCUUCACCAACACUUAAGUGGGGGUUGGGGCGCUGCCUUUCUUCCAAAGACUGGCUUGCUGUGCAACUCGUGGAAGGUUCUGAAAGGUGUUCAGGAUGAGUCGAGGUGUAUUUUGAAGGCGUGUGGGGCACGGUGUGUGAUGACCUGUGGGACGAGAAGGAAGCACAGGUGGUGUGCCAGCAGCUGGGCUGUGGGGCAGCCGUCUCUGCCCCUGGAGAGGCCCACUUUGGCCAGGGCUCCGGCCCCAUUCUUCUGGACGAUAUGCAGUGUUCUGGGACUGAGGCCUACCUGAGGGAGUGCUCCCAUGCCAGCUGGUCUACCCACAACUGUGGGCACAGGGAAGACACUGGUGUCAUCUGCUCAGAGUAUGAAAAUGAACACUUGCAAACUUUUGGUAAGAAUCACACUUUACUACAUCUUUAACAGAACAUCUGCUAAUGCCCCUAAUCCUUUGAUUGUAUUUACCAACAUAAUGCAUUGCAAGAGGUUGGGGAGUGGCAGAAAAAAAAAAAAACUGAAUUUAAUCAAAAGGACUCAAC